RNAcentral lists this transfer RNA (72 nucleotides) under Schistosoma japonicum. Its description in RNAcentral is "tRNA-OTHER". The record is from RNAcentral. Lineage: Eukaryota; Metazoa; Platyhelminthes; Trematoda; Strigeidida; Schistosomatidae.
GGCUCAGUGGUCUAGUGGUAAAGUGUUCGCCGCUGAGCCACAGGGUCCUGGGGUCGAUCCCCGAUGGGGUCG